Molecule: unclassified non-coding RNA, 123 nt
Filed under: rhizosphere metagenome
Description: partial ribosomal RNA internal transcribed spacer region
Source: RNAcentral
GUAGGUGAACCUGCGGAAGGAUCAAUAUGGAGGUAGGGAGUGAAAUUUGUUGAAAGCGGUUUUAAACUAUUUACAAUCUACAACACACACACACAACUCAUAACAAUGGAUCUCUGGGCUCUU